CUUAAAAGGAAUUGACGGGGCCGCACAAGCGGUGAGCAUGUGGUUAAUUCGAAGCAACGCGAAGAACCUUACCAGGUCUUGACAUCCCGAUGCUAUUUCUAGAGAUAGAAAGUUACUUCGGUACAUCGGUGACAGGUGGUGCAUGGUUGUCGUCAGCUCGUGUCGUGAGAUGUUGGGUUAAGUCCCGCAACGAGCGCAACCCCUAUUGUUAGUUGCCAUCAUUCAGUUGGGCACUCUAGCGAGACUGCCGGUAAUAAACCGGAGGAAGUGGGGAUGACGUCAAAUCAUCAUGCCCCUUAUGACCUGGGCUACACACGUGCUACAAUGGUUGGUACAACGAGUUGCGAGUCGGUGACGGCGAGCUAAUCUCUUAAAGCCAAUCUCAGUUCGGAUUGUAGGCUGCAACUCGCCUACAUGAAGUCGGAAUCGCUAGUAAUCGCGGAUCAGCACGCCGCGGUGAAUACGUUCCCGGGCCUU
Molecule: ribosomal RNA, 477 nt
Filed under: uncultured Streptococcus sp.
Lineage: Bacteria; Bacillati; Bacillota; Bacilli; Lactobacillales; Streptococcaceae
Description: bacterial SSU rRNA
Rfam family: Bacterial small subunit ribosomal RNA
Source: RNAcentral